RNAcentral lists this ribosomal RNA (1448 nucleotides) under Mammaliicoccus sciuri. Its description in RNAcentral is "bacterial SSU rRNA". It matches the Rfam family "Bacterial small subunit ribosomal RNA". Lineage: Bacteria; Bacillati; Bacillota; Bacilli; Caryophanales; Staphylococcaceae. The record is from RNAcentral.
UGCUAAUACAUGCAAGUCGAGCGAACAGAUGAGAAGCUUGCUUCUCUGAUGUUAGCGGCGGACGGGUGAGUAACACGUGGGUAACCUACCUAUAAGACUGGGAUAACUCCGGGAAACCGGGGCUAAUACCGGAUAAUAUUUUGAACCGCAUGGUUCAAUAGUGAAAGACGGUUUCGGCUGUCACUUAUAGAUGGACCCGCGCCGUAUUAGCUAGUUGGUAAGGUAACGGCUUACCAAGGCGACGAUACGUAGCCGACCUGAGAGGGUGAUCGGCCACACUGGAACUGAGACACGGUCCAGACUCCUACGGGAGGCAGCAGUAGGGAAUCUUCCGCAAUGGGCGAAAGCCUGACGGAGCAACGCCGCGUGAGUGAUGAAGGUCUUCGGAUCGUAAAACUCUGUUGUUAGGGAAGAACAAAUUUGUUAGUAACUGAACAAGUCUUGACGGUACCUAACCAGAAAGCCACGGCUAACUACGUGCCAGCAGCCGCGGUAAUACGUAGGUGGCAAGCGUUAUCCGGAAUUAUUGGGCGUAAAGCGCGCGUAGGCGGUUUCUUAAGUCUGAUGUGAAAGCCCACGGCUCAACCGUGGAGGGUCAUUGGAAACUGGGAAACUUGAGUGCAGAAGAGGAGAGUGGAAUUCCAUGUGUAGCGGUGAAAUGCGCAGAGAUAUGGAGGAACACCAGUGGCGAAGGCGGCUCUCUGGUCUGUAACUGACGCUGAUGUGCGAAAGCGUGGGGAUCAAACAGGAUUAGAUACCCUGGUAGUCCACGCCGUAAACGAUGAGUGCUAAGUGUUAGGGGGUUUCCGCCCCUUAGUGCUGCAGCUAACGCAUUAAGCACUCCGCCUGGGGAGUACGACCGCAAGGUUGAAACUCAAAGGAAUUGACGGGGACCCGCACAAGCGGUGGAGCAUGUGGUUUAAUUCGAAGCAACGCGAAGAACCUUACCAAAUCUUGACAUCCUUUGACCGCUCUAGAGAUAGAGUCUUCCCCUUCGGGGGACAAAGUGACAGGUGGUGCAUGGUUGUCGUCAGCUCGUGUCGUGAGAUGUUGGGUUAAGUCCCGCAACGAGCGCAACCCUUAAGCUUAGUUGCCAUCAUUAAGUUGGGCACUCUAGGUUGACUGCCGGUGACAAACCGGAAGAAAGGUGGGGAUGACGUCAAAUCAUCAUGCCCCUUAUGAUUUGGGCUACACACGUGCUACAAUGGAUAAUACAAAGGGCAGCGAAUCCGCGAGGCCAAGCAAAUCCCAUAAAAUUAUUCUCAGUUCGGAUUGUAGUCUGCAACUCGACUACAUGAAGCUGGAAUCGCUAGUAAUCGUAGAUCAGCAUGCUACGGUGAAUACGUUCCCGGGUCUUGUACACACCGCCCGUCACACCACGAGAGUUUGUAACACCCGAAGCCGGUGGAGUAACCUUUUAGGAGCUAGCCGUCGAAGGUGGACAAAGG